This 98-nucleotide microRNA precursor is filed under the name Mustela putorius furo (domestic ferret). RNAcentral's name for it is "mir-544 microRNA precursor family". It matches the Rfam family "mir-544 microRNA precursor family". The record is from Rfam by way of RNAcentral. Lineage: Eukaryota; Metazoa; Chordata; Mammalia; Carnivora; Mustelidae.
ACCACCUGGGAAUCUUGUUAAAAUGCAACUUCUGAGUCAGUAGGUCUGCGAUGGGGCCCGAGAUCGUGCAUUUAUAGCAAGUUCCCAGCUGAAGCCAA